UACGAAGGGUGCAAGCGUUACUCGGAAUUACUGGGCGUAAAGCGUGCGUAGGUGGUUUGUUAAGUCUGUUGUGAAAGCCCCGGGCUCAACCUGGGAAUGGCAAUGGAUACUGGCAGGCUAGAGUGCGGUAGAGGGUAGUGGAAUUCCCGGUGUAGCGGUGAAAUGCGUAGAUAUCUGGAGGAACACCGGUGGCGAAGGCGGCAUCCUGGACCAUUACUGACGCUGAGUGAGCGAAAGCCAGGGGAGCAAACGGG
Molecule: ribosomal RNA, 254 nt
Filed under: uncultured bacterium
Lineage: Bacteria
Description: partial 16S ribosomal RNA
Rfam family: Bacterial small subunit ribosomal RNA
Source: RNAcentral